AUUGAACGCUGGCGGCAGGCCUAACACAUGCAAGUCGAGCGGAUGAAGGGAGCUUGCUCUUGGAUUCAGCGGCGGACGGGUGAGUAAUGCCUAGGAAUCUGCCUGGUAGUGGGGGAUAACGUCCGGAAACGGGCGCUAAUACCGCAUACGUCCUGAGGGGGAAAGUGGGGGAUCUUCGGACCUCACGCUAUCAGAUGAGCCGAGGUCGGAUUAGCUAGUUGGUGGGGUAAAGGCCUACCAAGGCGACGAUCCGUAACUGGUCUGAGAGGAUGAUCAGUCACACUGGAACUGAGACACGGUCCAGACUCCUACGGGAGGCAGCAGUGGGGAAUAUUGGACAAUGGGCGCAAGCCUGAUCCAGCCAUGCCGCGUGUGUGAAGAAGGUCUUCGGAUUGUAAAGCACUUUAAGUUGGGAGGAAGGGCAGUAAGUUAAUACCUUGCUGUUUUGACGUUACCAACAGAAUAAGCACCGGCUAACUUCGUG
RNAcentral lists this ribosomal RNA (484 nucleotides) under uncultured bacterium. Its description in RNAcentral is "partial 16S ribosomal RNA". It matches the Rfam family "Bacterial small subunit ribosomal RNA", at positions 30 to 507 of the family's 1533-position model. The record is from RNAcentral.